RNAcentral lists this ribosomal RNA (249 nucleotides) under Triticum aestivum (bread wheat). RNAcentral's name for it is "partial small subunit ribosomal RNA". The record is from RNAcentral. Lineage: Eukaryota; Viridiplantae; Streptophyta; Magnoliopsida; Poales; Poaceae.
AUGAGCUUGGGUUGCCAGAAAAAGUGCUCCAUCGCCUUUCAUUGUUGCAUCUGUUGUAUUAAUACUGACUGGUGCUACACAAGUUCCGAGAGCUGCGAUAGAAACUGCCCGGAUCUCUUCUCGCAUUCUAAUGAAAUGCUAGCCGCGGCGACGGUGACCCCUGAAACUGUGCUGACCAGGUCUGCAGUACGCACGGAUGGCUUGAUGCAAGGCCUCGUCCCAAAUGAGUUCGGCAAUUGUCGUGUGUAG